ACACUCCUACGGGAGGCAGCAGUGGGGAAUAUUGGACAAUGGGCGCAAGCCUGAUCCAGCCAUGCCGCGUGAGUGAUGAAGGCCUUAGGGUUGUAAAGCUCUUUCACCGGUGAAGAUAAUGACGGUAACCGGAGAAGAAGCCCCGGCUAACUUUGCGCCAGCAGCCGCGGUAAUACGAAGGGGGCUAGCGUUGUUCGGAUUUACUGGGCGUAAAGCGCACGUAGGCGGACUAUUAAGUCAGGGGUGAAAUCCCGGGGCUCAACCCCGGAGCUGCCUUUGAUACUGGUAGUCUUGAGUUCGGGAGAGGUGAGUGGAAUUCCGAGUGUAGAGGUGAAAUUCGUAGAUAUUCGGAGGAACACCAGUGGCGAAGGCGGCUCACUGGCUCGAUACUGACGCUGAGGUGCGAAAGCGUGGGGAGCAAACAGGAUUAGAAACCCCAGUAGUCCCAUGAU
RNAcentral lists this ribosomal RNA (452 nucleotides) under uncultured organism. Its description in RNAcentral is "partial 16S ribosomal RNA". It matches the Rfam family "Bacterial small subunit ribosomal RNA", at positions 333 to 801 of the family's 1533-position model. The record is from RNAcentral.